GAGAUUCCCUGUGCAGAUGAGGAGGAGCCUGUGAUGGUUAAGCUUUUAAAAUGCCAUUGCAAAUUUGGAUGCUGCAGACCCAAUGGUCAAGACUGUAAAAGCAUGGUAACACACUGGAAGCUGAAAAUACUGCAGUGGUUAUCACCUAUUUUCCAUCUCCUGGGGUAUAAGACCUUGUCAAAAUCAAAUGGCAUUCACUCCCCAAGAUGGCACCAACCAUUCCAGUUGGCUCAUGUAUUAGAGAAGCAAACAGCUCAAGAAAGCCAGUAUGAAUGUGGAUCCUUCUACAGAUCAGGUUUGUGAGUCAGCCACAGAAAGGAGGCACACUGGUUAAUUCAUUAUUAUUUAUUAGCUGUACAGCAGUAUAUUCUCCUUCCCAAAGUCCAAACCCCAUUAUGUACUUUUAUAACAUUUUAUCUCAUGUUGGUUUCCUAAAAUAAUGAAAAAUAUCACACAGUACAGCUAAGUACAAAAAUGCAUCAACCUAGAAUUGGAUAGCUAACCUGAUAGCUCUCUUAAAAGCGAUACAUAGAAGAAAAUUCUGUUUGAAAUCAGCAAGACUGAGGCUCUAUAAAAAGCUUACUUAUUUUAACAUGUGACAGUUCAUAUACAGGCAUCAUUUGUAUUUCACAUUAUUCUUUUUUCUUUUUAAUUAAAGACCCAAAAAUCUUGUAAUUACUGACCUAGUAAAAUUUCCUGGCCUAGGUUUCAGGGGCUUGGGAAGCCCCAUUACAAAUUACCACCUCGGCUUUUAACACAGAAUUCAUAAACACAAAAACAGAGCAAAGAAAGUGGAGUCGUGAAAAUUUGAAACUCAAAAAAAGAGUUAAA
Long non-coding RNA from Hemicordylus capensis (graceful crag lizard), 831 nucleotides. RefSeq lists it as uncharacterized. The record is from RefSeq and is a predicted model, not a curated record. Lineage: Eukaryota; Metazoa; Chordata; Lepidosauria; Squamata; Cordylidae. The transcript has 2 exons.